CCUACGGGAGGCAGCAGUCGGGAAUUUUGGGCAAUGGGCGAAAGCCUGACCCAGCAACGCCGCGUGAAGGAUGAAGUAUUUCGGUAUGUAAACUUCGUAAAAUAGGAAGAAUAAAUGACGGUACUAUUUGUAAGGUCCGGCUAACUACGUGCCAGCAGCCGCGGUAAUACGUAGGGACCAAGCGUUGUUCGGAUUUACUGGGCGUAAAGGGCGCGUAGGCGGCGUGACAAGUCACUUGUGAAAUCUCCGGGCUUAACUCGGAACGGUCAAGUGAUACUGUUGUGCUAGAGUACAGAAGGGGCAAUCGGAAUUCUUGGUGUAGCGGUGAAAUGCGUAGAUAUCAAGAGGAACACCAGAGGCGAAGGCGGAUUGCUGGGCUGAUACUGACGCUGAGGCGCGAAAGCUAGGGUAGCAAACGGGAUUAGAUACCCCGGUAGUCCUAGCCCUAAACGAUGAAUACUUGGUGUCUGGAGUUUAAUUCUCUGGGUGCCGUCGCUAACGUUUUAAGUAUUCCGCCUGGGGAGUACGCACGCAAGUGUGAAACUCAAAGGAAUUGACGG
RNAcentral lists this ribosomal RNA (560 nucleotides) under uncultured bacterium. RNAcentral describes it as "bacterial SSU rRNA". It matches the Rfam family "Bacterial small subunit ribosomal RNA", at positions 338 to 916 of the family's 1533-position model. The record is from RNAcentral.